UCUAGGAUUUCUUUUUGUUCU
RNAcentral lists this non-coding RNA (21 nucleotides) under Caenorhabditis elegans. The record is from RNAcentral. Lineage: Eukaryota; Metazoa; Nematoda; Chromadorea; Rhabditida; Rhabditidae.